This 208-nucleotide ribosomal RNA is filed under the name uncultured bacterium. RNAcentral's name for it is "partial 16S ribosomal RNA". It matches the Rfam family "Bacterial small subunit ribosomal RNA", at positions 568 to 774 of the family's 1533-position model. The record is from RNAcentral.
CGCGUAGGCGGCCACUGCAAGUCAGUUGUGAAAUCUCCGGGCUUAACUCGGAAAGGUCAACUGAUACUGCAGGGCUAGAGUGCGGAAGGGGCAACUGGAAUUCUCGGUGUAGCGGUGAAAUGCGUAGAUAUCGAGAGGAACACCUGCGGCGAAGGCGGGUUGCUGGGCCGACACUGACGCUGAAGUGCGAAAGCUAGGGGAGCGAACG